Molecule: long non-coding RNA, 712 nt
Filed under: Mus musculus (house mouse)
Lineage: Eukaryota; Metazoa; Chordata; Mammalia; Rodentia; Muridae
Description: long non-coding RNA chrX:21741641-21742353
Source: RNAcentral
AGCACCAAGGUUACUAAUACCAUCUUUAACUCUAGUUCCAUGAAACCCGAUGUCCUCUUCUGACCUCUAUGAUACUGCAUGCUCAUGGUGCACAUACACACAGGCAGAAAACACCCAUACCCAUAAAAUAAAAUGAAUAAACAUCUUUAUCCAAAGAAGUUCCACAAAUAUGUAGGAAAAUGACUGUAUGUGAUAUGAGGAUUGUUGUUUAAUAUCUGUGAUCCAAAUAUGUCUAAACAUGUUAUCAAUUUAUUAUGUAUCAUGUUUUCUAUGUAAGCUUUGCAGUUGUACUCUUUAGUUAGAGUGAAAUGAUACAAAAAUGAGGAACAGGUAUCCAGACAGUGAUAAACCUAGGAAAUGAAAUAUUGAAAUUUUGAAUACUUCUUACCUUUCAGAAUAUCUUUAUUCAUUAAGUUGUAUUUGGAAUAAAACCACGACACGUUUAAUUUUUAUUGUGUUUCAGGAAAAACAAGUAGUUCAUUACGUUCUCUGGAUUCUAGAUUCAAUUGCAAGUAGAAUUUGUAUGAAAUUGUUACUGAUAACAUGACUUUAAAUUUGGCAUUUUUUGAUAAUGAUAUAUAUCUAAUAGAUAAAUAGCAAUAAUCUUCUCUUUUAUAGAUUUGUUUUUGCCUAAGUGUAACAAAGUAUUCAUAUAUGAAUUGAUGCUAAUUGUUAAUUGUCACCAAUAAAAAUUUUAUAUCCUGUUUUCCUC